RNAcentral lists this ribosomal RNA (395 nucleotides) under uncultured bacterium. RNAcentral describes it as "partial 16S ribosomal RNA". It matches the Rfam family "Bacterial small subunit ribosomal RNA", at positions 523 to 918 of the family's 1533-position model. The record is from RNAcentral.
AUACGUAGGGUGCAAGCGUUAAUCGGAAUUACUGGGCGUAAAGCGUGCGCAGGCGGUUUUGUAAGACAGAGGUGAAAUCCCCGGGCUCAACCUGGGAACUGCCUUUGUGACUGCAAGGCUAGAGUACGGCAGAGGGGGAUGGAAUUCCGCGGGUAGCAGUGUAAUGCGUAGAUAUGCGGAGGAACACCGAUGGCGAAGGCAAUCCCCUGGGCCUGUACUGACGCUCAUGCACGAAAGCGUGGGGAGCAAACAGGAUUAGAUACCCUGGUAGUCCACGCCCUAAACGAUGUCAACUGGUUGUUGGGUCUUCAUUGACUCAGUAACGAAGCUAACGCGUGAAGUUGACCGCCUGGGGAGUACGGCCGCAAGGUCGAAACUCAAAUGAAUUGACGGGG